ACAAUUCGAUUUUAAAUCCUACGCUGCUGGCCAGUUUCAAAGUAACUAACUCGAAAUCCUCAAAAAUCUCACCCUUCUCCACCGUCAUCUCUCUACUCAAAAUUAUAAAAAUAUUAAUUGUUUAUUUCAAUAAUAAAUAAGAUAUUUUUGGAUGAUGCGUUAUUUUAUUUUUCUUUUCAAUACAAUUUAAUUCUAUUUUUUAUUUUCAUUCUCUUAAGAGAGAACAAUUU
This 230-nucleotide long non-coding RNA is filed under the name Ananas comosus (pineapple). Its description in RNAcentral is "long non-coding RNA (ACOM_LNC023813)". Lineage: Eukaryota; Viridiplantae; Streptophyta; Magnoliopsida; Poales; Bromeliaceae. The record is from RNAcentral.